Long non-coding RNA from Mangifera indica (mango), 599 nucleotides. RefSeq lists it as uncharacterized. The transcript is spliced from 2 exons. Lineage: Eukaryota; Viridiplantae; Streptophyta; Magnoliopsida; Sapindales; Anacardiaceae. The record is from RefSeq and is a predicted model, not a curated record.
UGUAACCAGAUUAUAAAAAGAUAAACACUAUCAUCAACUCACAUUUCAUGAUUGUGCAGGGGACGGUUUAUUAGCACCCUGCCUAAAACCUCUUUUGGAAUUUUGUCACAAAGGAACUCAUCAGCUGCCAGAAUAGCAGCCACGGCCAUCUCAUUACUUUCUUCUGUUUGUCCCUCUUCAAGAAUUUGACUAUUAAGAUAGUAAGCAGCAGCCUGAAAUGUAUUUUGUGUAAGUCAAGAUCACAAUCAUUUAAAUUUUAUAAACAAAAACUGUACCUUGGCUUCAACAUAUUUCCAUUCGACGAAAAGCUUAUGUUUUUGUCCCCAUCCAUUUGCUAGUGGAAGGUGUUCUAUGUUUUCUCGAGCCUGCAAAGUGUAGAGAAUCCACAUCUGAGAAUUUUUGUAUUCAUAGAAUGUGCGAAUAAGAGCCUUUUAAGCAUGUAUAAAUUUGUACCUGAUUCCGGUAUUUUGCCAGCUCGCAUGCAAACCUCGGUUUCACUGCCAAUGUGGCUUUGACACUAUCAAUUGCCAUUCCAAGUUGACCAUACAAUCUACUUAGAAACUCAUCUUACAUUUAACCAAUAGUUUGUUAUUAUUCUA